Molecule: ribosomal RNA, 273 nt
Filed under: uncultured archaeon
Lineage: Archaea
Description: partial 16S ribosomal RNA
Rfam family: Archaeal small subunit ribosomal RNA
Source: RNAcentral
UUAACGGGAUGGCUUUUCAUUAGUGUAAAGAGCUUUUGGAAUAAGGGCUGGGCAAGACCGGUGCCAGCCGCCGCGGUAACACCGGCAGCUCUAGUGGUAGCAACUUUUAUUGGGCCUAAAGCGUCCGUAGCCGGUUUAAUAAGUCUCUGGUGAAAUCCUGUAGCUUAACUGUGGGAAUUGCUGGAGAUACUAUUAGACUUGAGACCGGGAGAGGUUAGAGGUACUCCCAGGGUAGAGGUGAAAUUCUGUAAUCCUGGGAGGACCGCCUGUUGC